GGGAUCAUUCCCAUGCUUUCUUGCAAGUAAGUUGCUGACUGCAUUAGGUGAUGAAAUGGGAUUGCACCACUACCACCAGUAAGAGGUGUGGAUGAACCAGAUGCAGUAUGAGGGCUAGAUAUAGGAGAUGGAGAUAGCCUUCCACUCAUAUGUUGUGGGGACCUUGAAUUCAGAAGAGGGCUCUCAAUAGGUGAAACCUGACAUGACGCAUUCUUC
This 216-nucleotide unclassified non-coding RNA is filed under the name Hevea brasiliensis (rubber tree). Lineage: Eukaryota; Viridiplantae; Streptophyta; Magnoliopsida; Malpighiales; Euphorbiaceae. The record is from RNAcentral.